CAAGUCGAUGCAUUUGCAGUGACAAUUACUCGCAAUUGAUUAACCAAUACAGUAGAAUAGAUUGGACUCAGUGGUUUGGUGAACAUGGCACAGACUCAGUGGUUUUGUGAACAUGGCACAGACUCAGUGGUUUUGUGAACAUGGCACAAUUUAAAAAAAAAGUAUGAGUCAAUUUUUAUUUUAGAAACUAAAGUAACAUCAUUGGAAAUAUUGCAAAUAAGACAAAAUCAGAAAUUUCAAGUGUGAUUGAAAUGGAACUGCAGCCAACGAGGACACACAGAAAUGAACAAUAGAUGGAAAAAGAUAAAAAAAAAAAAACAAAAAAAAAAAAAAAAAACAUGAUUUUCUAGGAACUAUAAAAUUUUCAAUGUGAUAUGUUAAUCUUG
RNAcentral lists this long non-coding RNA (386 nucleotides) under Mytilus galloprovincialis (Mediterranean mussel). Lineage: Eukaryota; Metazoa; Mollusca; Bivalvia; Mytilida; Mytilidae. The record is from RNAcentral.